Molecule: ribosomal RNA, 475 nt
Filed under: uncultured bacterium
Lineage: Bacteria
Description: bacterial SSU rRNA
Rfam family: Bacterial small subunit ribosomal RNA
Source: RNAcentral
AGGACGAACGCUGGCGGCGUGCUUAACACAUGCAAGUCGAGCGAUGAAGUCGUCUCGGGGACGGAUUAGCGGCGGACGGGUGAGUAACACGUGGGUAACCUGCCUCAUAGAGGGGAAUAGCCUUCCGAAAGGAAGAUUAAUACCGCAUAAGAUUGAGUUUCGCAUGAAACAGCAAUUAAAGGAGUAAUCCGCUAUGAGAUGGACCCGCGUCGCAUUAGCUAGUUGGUGAGGUAACGGCUCACCAAGGCGACGAUGCGUAGCCGACCUGAGAGGGUGAUCGGCCACAUUGGGACUGAGACACGGCCCAGACUCCUACGGGAGGCAGCAGUGGGGAAUAUUGCACAAUGGGGGAAACCCUGAUGCAGCAAACGCCGCGUGAGUGAUGACGGUCUUCGGAUUGUAAAGCUCUGUCUUCAGGGACGAUAAUGACGGUACCUGAGGAGGAAGCCACGGCUAACUACGUGCCAGCCGCAGC